UACGUAGGGUGCGAGCGUUGUCCGGAAUUAUUGGGCGUAAAGAGCUCGUAGGCGGUCUGUCGCGUCGGCUGUGAAAACCCGGAGCUCAACUCCGGGCCUGCAGUCGAUACGGGCAGACUGGAGUUCGGCAGGGGAGACUGGAAUUCCUGGUGUAGCGGUGAAAUGCGCAGAUAUCAGGAGGAACACCGGUGGCGAAGGCAAUCCCCUGGGCCUGCACUGACGCUCAUGCACGAAAGCGUGGGGAGCAAACAGG
Molecule: ribosomal RNA, 253 nt
Filed under: uncultured bacterium
Lineage: Bacteria
Description: partial 16S ribosomal RNA
Rfam family: Bacterial small subunit ribosomal RNA
Source: RNAcentral